AGCCUACAUUGUCGUAUUAAAUUUACAAAUUGCGAAAAACCAAAUUAACUGUGAAUUUCGCGGGCAGACCCGUCGCUUGCCCCUUAAGUCAAUGCACGCUCUACAGAUCUCAGCCUUAACUACACACCACGGGAUCGCGAGCAAAAUGCUCGGUUAAUUUAGAAGUGUCUAUAAACCGCAAAAGCUCGUACGCCUCUUGAAAAUGUGGAGUUUAAUUUGUACUAAUAUAAGGCAAAUAGCGGGUAUAUACCACGAUCAAUAUGUCGAUUUUAAAUUAUCGAUAUUUCAACGCGCUUGCUGCUACUGGGACUCAUGCAACUGGGUCAAAAUAUCGAUAAAAUAGUUUUACCUAUAUACAGGAAAUAGUGGUACGCACCUGCUAUUCACAUUAUUAACUGAAACACGAAAUAAAUCUAACAUCAUUACUUUAACUCGCCUUCUGUAGAUUUUCAAUUACAAGAAAAUAUGUAGGAUAGCACGGCGUAAGGAUGCUUUACCGACUUCGAAAAAUGUAUUUAAAGAACAAUUCAUAAAGUCCACUUUUGAUUGACGAUCUGUGUGCUGUCCAUAAGCAGUAUAGCAUAGUCAGUGAAAGCUACUAUCAGAUAUUUUCAUGAACCGCUCUAAGCUAUCACUCGCUCGAUAUUUUUUUAUUAAUAUAGGUAUUUACUUUAAAUCUCCUAAAUUGUUAAUACGAUCUUAAGCGAUAUAAUUUUUCAUAACAGAAUUCACUGUACCACAAAACUUUUAACUAUUUUUUUUUGUUCAUUAUAUUAAGGUGAAUCAUCACUGUAAUUAUUUUCAAUCUCAUUUUUCAUAUAAGGAACGUCGCUAUGCGAAAUAAUCCAAUUUUCAGUCGCUAAAAUUUGAGAAAUCCUCAAGCAUAUAAAUAUCUACCCGCUUUAAUAAUAAAGUUAGUCGUUUAAAAGGCAGUGCUUUAAUUCAGUUAACAAUUCCUAUUGCGUUUAAAUGAUAUGCAAACGAUAUUAGAAAUGGUAUGACCACUAUGCUUGUGAUAAUACGUGUGAAUAGAAAGCAUAAGCCAAAAGGUAUAAAAAUCUAAAUUGCAGUCUUUUGGACUUCAGUCCGCCCGGUUAAGUCGCGCAAAAUAUAUUCCUAACUCAAGGGAAUAAAAUUCUAUUUAGAAUUUUCUACUAUAUCUAGUUUCUGAGCCUCUAGCUAAACACUUACAAGGAUAAUUCACCUUAACAUAUUUCUGUGAUACAACGAAUUCGACCAUUAAAUCUAAACACUUUUUUUUUUAAUUUUCUCAUUACUAUCUAAUCACGGUGCGAAAUGUAAUACGAGGGGGUAUCAGUGAAUAUAUACUGGGGUACCCCCAAAACUCCUAUACUAACCAACCUUAGACUCAUAACGCAUAGAAGUCUAGAAAAAGUUGUACUCAAAAGUGAAAUAUAAAACCAAGCCAUACCUCUUUAUUGUUUGCAAUAAUAUUUAUUGCUAUUUCGGUUAUAUACAAAACCUUAAUUGGACAGAUCUAAAAGUAUUGCCAUCCUCUUCUACAAGGAAUUUUGUGACAAAGAUGGCGACAGUACUUUUAGGCUGAGAUCUACCAUUACAGCGCACUUUGAAUUUGCUCAGACUUAUAAAAUUCAAACGAGACAAAAUGUGAGAUACAAAUCUGUCUAGUUUCAACUAUGUCAAAAUACGCUUUAAAGAAUUUCAGCUUUAAUCUUGGCAAUACAUUUAAGGUUUUGUGUAAAACUGAAUCAGCGCUAAUGUAUUAUUGGUAUUUUCUUAACUAUUUUGGCGUUCUCUUAAAGACUUAUAUAAUAACAAAUAAUAAUAUACAAAAGCAAGUUAAAAACCACGCCAUUUAUAGCUUGGUUGGUUCUUGCUUCACUUCGAAUGAGGAUACUUGCAACUUCUAUAUGUUAUUAUUCUAAGACACUAACAUACAAACAAUUUAAAGGCGUAAAGCUGUUUUUUUUUCUUUUUUUUUUCUUCACUUACAAUAAUGAGUUAAUAUUCGUGUAUAUAUAUUUUUAUUUGUAUUUUCACAUAUUUAAACCUAUUUUUAUUAUGUACUUUACUAUCAAAGACAUGGAUUAUAUCAACAUCUAUUAAAAAAGUUUAAGUUUCGAAUUCAUAUUUUAUAGAUCGCUUGCUAAAGCCGUGCCCAGACUGACUGAAAGCGAAUCUUGAUAUAUCCAUCGCAGCGCAUAGGCCGUGCAGUUUCCAUAAUAUCAUAUUAUAGACGGCGUAAACAUUGCUAACAUUCGUAAGGUAAGAUAAAUCCGCACCGCUCAAGCACAACACAUUUAUCGUUCAAAUGUGUGUUUUAUUUCGUGUGCCAUAGAUAUAUUUUUCAUUGACAAGAAAAUAUUAUACGACAAGCACUUUUACCGCGCGGUAAUUUAAUUAGCUUGAGUGGUGCGGUUGAAUCUUAUCAGACCUUAGGUCUGAAUACUUCCCACGCUGAUGUCAGUCGUGUACUAUUAGUAGCGUGUCAGCGUUUAGCAUUCCAAUGUAUGCCGCGACCGACAUCAGUAUAAGAAUUCAAGCCUUAAGACUGGUUUUUUUCUCACUACAUUUCGUCGAGGCUGGCGUUCUCUAACAUGUAGCGAGUCAGAACUGACCAAUUAGCAUAUAGGUUGAAAUCUAUAGGGCACACUUUGACGUUGCAUAGAUGUAAGUUUCAGUUAAAACGAGACAGAUUUAUGCGAGCGGUAUAACGCUGUCCCGUUUUAACAGUAUUUUUAGUCUGAGCAAAGUCAAAGUGCGUUCUAUAGAUCUCAGCCUUAAGAACGCUUCAUAGUAUUCCAUAAAGCGUGUAUGGCUGCACACAUCUCAGCGCUAUCGCUUCAUAGUAGUUCAUUAUAAUAUAUACUGAUCUGUCAGCGCCGACGGUCAGCGUGAGGAGAAAAUAAGCCUAACCUAUUCGCAAGUCAAUCAGGACACGAUAUGAUCUAAUUCGAAACGACGAAUCGUUAUAUAAUUUAGUUAAUAUAGUAAAUCUAAAAACAAGAGCUAAAGAUAUGAACUCUAAUUAGCUAAGAUAUGAAAGAAAGAAAAAUGUACACUAAAAUUUAUUGCACAUACAAAAAUACCGACUUCGCAUUUCAUAUAUAUAUUGAGAGUCGGGAGAGAGAGAGAGCAAAAUAUGUAUACUCUACGGACUCUACUGCAAACAUUAAAAUUGUAAAGGAUGGAAUAUUAUACCUAUCCACUUUUAUACUCUGUCCAUUGUACUAUUUACUAUUUGAUAUUUGAUAUAUAAAUUGAAGCUUAAAUACUUAACUGCUAUUUAAAACUUAGGGUCAUCACCCACCGCGACUUUUGGUCGCGAUACAGCCACAAAAGUCGCGAUACAGUAGCGAUGUAUCGCUGGCCCAUGUAUCUUUCCCCGCAAUUUUGUAUCGCUUCUGUAGCGAUUCAGAAUCGCGUUCAAGAUACACUCUCUUGUAUCGCUCAAAAAGUCGCACUGUUGCCUUGCUAGUCAUAGUAAUAAUGAAGUUAAAUACAACUUUAAUUUUUAAUGACGUGAUUGUGGUAUUUUGUUCAUCAUAAAGGCAAAAAACGUCUCCUUUGAAGAGCAUUCAAUUAAAUUGGCUUUUUGUAUCACAACAUAUUAUGGAUUCAAUAAUAAAUCAAUUUUAUAAUAGCUUAAUUUCAUCCUUUCGAGUAUCAAUAGUAUAAUAAAAUUGUCUCUUUCUAUGCCACUUACUAUAAAGACAUGCUUUCACAGUUUCGUUCAGUUUAUUAAAAAAGUGAAAAUGUCAAAUAGUUUAUCUGGCUUCUGAAGGUCUACCUUUUGAACCUAUAAAUAGUAAAUAGCACAAUAGAUAGGGUUUAAAACUAUUAAAACCAAAAAUCAAAACAAAAAGCCGCCUCUCUUCUGUGGCAACAUAAAACAUUGCUCUUCUAUACGUUAGUAAAACAUAUCAUGGAUCCAGCCAGUAAGUGGCGAACAUACCCAUAUCAUAGGCGAAAAGGCAGUGCCUAUCUUAAAAUACUAGGUUUGAAUAAAAUUAUUAAACAAAAAAAUCUAAAAAACAUUUUCAAUACUUAUAUCAUAUAAUUAAAACCCCGUGUAGAUUGAGGUUCAGCUUAGAACAACCACUUUCAAAACAAAUGGUUUUCAUUUUGUCGUACACAAAACUUAAGGUGCAAACGCAUUAGUGUGGAGUGUCGUAACGUGACAGGAGGCGGUCGAAAUCAUACAUUUUGUAGACGACGUGCACUCUAGUGAAUCGUGGGCCGUGGUGGUUCGCUUCAAUUGUUGAAUCAUGACACCGAAUUGUGUUGUACCACAACACAAUAAUCUGG
Maniola jurtina (meadow brown) is the source of this 4290-nucleotide long non-coding RNA. RefSeq lists it as uncharacterized. The transcript has 2 exons. Lineage: Eukaryota; Metazoa; Arthropoda; Insecta; Lepidoptera; Nymphalidae. The record is from RefSeq and is a predicted model, not a curated record.